This 462-nucleotide ribosomal RNA is filed under the name uncultured Rhodocyclaceae bacterium. RNAcentral describes it as "bacterial SSU rRNA". It matches the Rfam family "Bacterial small subunit ribosomal RNA", at positions 919 to 1382 of the family's 1533-position model. Lineage: Bacteria; Pseudomonadati; Pseudomonadota; Betaproteobacteria; Rhodocyclales; Rhodocyclaceae. The record is from RNAcentral.
ACCCGCACAAGCGGUGGAUGAUGUGAUUAAUUCGAUGCAACGCGAAAACCUUACCUACCCUUGACAUGUCCGGAAUCCCGAAGAGAUUUGGGAGUGCUCGCAAGAGAACCGGAACACAGGUGCUGCAUGGCUGUCGUCAGCUCGUGUCGUGAGAUGUUGGGUUAAGUCCCGCAACGAGCGCAACCCUUGUCAUUAGUUGCCAUCAUUUGGUUGGGCACUCUAAUGAGACUGCCGGUGACAAACCGGAGGAAGGUGGGGAUGACGUCAAGUCCUCAUGGCCCUUAUGGGUAGGGCUUCACACGUCAUACAAUGGUCGGUACAGAGGGUUGCCAACCCGCGAGGGGGAGCUAAUCCCACAAAGCCGAUCGUAGUCCGGAUCGCAGUCUGCAACUCGACUGCGUGAAGUCGGAAUCGCUAGUAAUCGUGGAUCAGCAUGUCACGGUGAAUACGUUCCCGGGUCUU